This 774-nucleotide ribosomal RNA is filed under the name uncultured Neocallimastigales. RNAcentral describes it as "partial large subunit ribosomal RNA". It matches the Rfam family "Eukaryotic large subunit ribosomal RNA", at positions 24 to 616 of the family's 3401-position model. Lineage: Eukaryota; Fungi; Neocallimastigomycota; Neocallimastigomycetes; Neocallimastigales. The record is from RNAcentral.
GUAGUCUCGCACAGAUGCAUAUCAAUAAGCGGAGGAAAAGAAACUGACAAGGAUUCCCUUAGUAACGGCGAGUGAAGCGGGAAGAGCUCAAAUUUGAAAUCUUCAAGGUUUUACCUUGACGAAUUGUAGUUUAAAGAAGUGUUUUCUGUUGAGGUUUUGGUAAAAGUUCUUUGGAAUAGGACAUCAUAGAGGGUGAGAAUCCCGUAUUUGACCAUUACUUUCAACUUUGUGAUACACUUUCAAAGAGUCGGAUUGUUUGGGAAUGCAGUCCAAAAUGGGUGGUAAAUUUCAUCUAAAGCUAAAUAUUGGCGAGAGACCGAUAGCGAACAAGUACCGUGAGGGAAAGAUGAAAAGAACUUUGAAAAGAGAGUUAAACAGUACGUGAAAUUGUCAAAAGGGAAGCGUUUGACACCAGUGUUGUUUUCUCGAAAAUCAAUUAAAAAGAGUUAGAUUUUGUUGUGUAUUGACCUUAACAGCUUGCAUUUCAAUUUUCUUGCUUUUUUUAAUGCACUUUUCGUUUAACAAGUCAACAUCAGUUUCUUUUGUUGUAAAAAGGUCAUUGGAAGGUGGCUUUCUUUUCGGAGAAAGUGUUUAUAGCCUUUGACUCCUGCAAUCGGAGAGACUGAGGUCUGCAGCGUAGAUCCUUCGGGGUUAGAUACAUUUGUGCUAAGUUAUAGCUUUUUAUAGACAACUUGUUGACUAUGAUUAGUCUUGUAGCUUACUCGCUUAUGCUAUUUUACCUACGCUUAGGAUGUUGAGCGCAUGUCUCUCUCU